CACUCACUAGUCUUAUCUUUUGCCACUCACUCCCGCAGUCAAUAUCUCUCCAUUGUUGUAGACUCACUGAGUUGAAGUGAGUCGCAAAAAUAACAAUGGUGAGGUUGGAUUAUCGAGUUACAUUUUUCUCCUUAUCUAUCACGCUAUUUGGCGUGUGCAUUGAAGCUUCAAUACAUGAAUACUUCGGGGAGCAGUUCGUGAGAAAGGGCAAUGCCUUCGUGGUUCACGGCGGAAGUGAGGGAAUUUACUCUUCUGCACCUAGACUCAACGAGUCUUUCUCCGGAGACUCUUUCAUACGUUUUGAAAAGAUCAUAUUUAGGAGGCCUCAAGAGCUUUCAAACUUCAGCUCAGGGGCAAUUCAUGCAAUAUUAUUUGAGGUGGAUGAUAGAGAAACAAUUGGGGGAUCAGCCUAUGGGGGUCAAAGAGCUGUAUGCUGCACAGCAGAUCUUGAGAAACUUGGAGUCUGUAAGCAAGGCCAAAUCAUUUACCGCCCAUCUACUAAUAGUCCUGGUUGGCCUCAAGUAUAUGAUACAUCAUUUGAUGUUGAUAAGGCAGAGACUAUUCUGCAGCCAAGAUCGAUACAAAUUACAAAAACUGGAAUGUACAAUUUGUAUUUUAUUCAUUGUGAUCCUAAUUUUAAAGAUGUUAUUCUUGAGGGGAAAACCAUCUGGAAGAAUCCUACUGGUUACCUACCUGGUAGAAUGGCACCACUCAUGCAAUUUUAUGGGUUCAUGUCACUUGCAUAUAUGGUGCUUGGGAUCUUCUGGUUUUCACAGUAUGCAAAAUUCUGGAGAGAAGUUCUUCCGUUGCAAAACUUUAUUACACUUGUAAUAACCUUGGGAAUGUUUGAGAUGGCUUUGUGGUACAUUGAUUAUGCCAAGUUCAAUGAAACCGGGGUCAGACCAACUGGGAUCACUGUAUGGGCAGUCUCAUCUGGUACUGUGAAACGUACUAUUUCAAGAUUGAUCAUCCUGAUGGUUUCAAUGGGUUAUGGUGUUGUCCGACCUACUUUAGGUGGCCUUACAUCAAAGGUUCUAAUGCUUGGAGCAACCUUCUUUGUUGCAUCUGAAGUCCUUGAACUUGUCGAAAAUGUUGGUGCUACAAGUGAUCUCUCAGGAAGAGCUAUACUUUUCUUUGGUCUUCCUGUGGCAAUUUUGGAUGCUUUCUUCAUUCUUUGGAUAUUUAAAUCCCUCUCCUUAACUUUGAAUAAGCUUCAGGGUAGAAGGAUGACAGCAAAACUAGAUAUCUACAGAAAGUUUACAAAUGCUUUAGCUGUUACUGUUAUCGUCUCUGUUGGGUGGAUUUCCUAUGAGCUUUAUUUCAAGUCAAAUGAUGUGUACAAUGAGCAAUGGCAGAAUGCAUGGAUCAUCCCUGCCUUCUGGCAAGUCUUGUCUUUCUCACUCUUGUGUGUCAUCUGUGCUCUUUGGGCGCCAUCUCAGAACUCAAUGCGAUAUGCGUUUUCUUCCGAGGAUGCUAGUGAAGAUUUCGAUGGGGAAGAUUCUUUGACACUCAUUAAACCAUCAUCUCUACCUUCUAAGGAUGUAAUGCGUCCUUCAGAACUCAGAUCAGCAGAAAGCAGCAAAGGUCUUUUGCCCCAAGGAGAUAACGAAGAGGACAAGACUCUAUGAAGUGGAAAGAUUACGGUAAUGGUACCAUUGGUAAGGUUGAUUAGACAGCAUGGGACAAUAUUACGGAAGAAAAAUGAGAAAUUUUUUUGUUCAAAUACCGUCCAACUACGAUCUAGUAAUGCAUAUCAAACACGUCUUUGUAUUGUAACUGUAUUCAGAUAAGCAGGCUCAGGUUCAAGCUUAGGCUCACAAUAUAUAGUGGAAAUUACAGAGCGAAAAGGAAAGAGCAAUCCAGGGAAUACAACAGCCGGUUAUUUCUGAAAGUAUAUUGGCCCUUUAGCGACUCGAACAGCCGGUCCACUCUCCCGCUCACAAUGGCUCGAACGGGCAGGGAUAUAAUAAGAGGAUGAGUAGUUUAUAUCCCUAGACGCAAUGAUUUGUUUGGCGAACUCUAUCGAACGAACAAGUUAAAAGCACAUUUUCAAGUAUGCGUGGUAGAAGCAAGAACCCAUCAGAACUGGUUGAAUCUGUUUUUGAGCACUUUUGACCUCUUUUA
This is an RNA transcript of Olea europaea var. sylvestris, 2124 nucleotides long. It is a transcript of the gene named transmembrane protein 87A-like, with no coding region annotated. The transcript is spliced from 6 exons. The record is from RefSeq and is a predicted model, not a curated record. NCBI's taxonomy places the organism in Eukaryota, Viridiplantae, Streptophyta, Magnoliopsida, Lamiales, Oleaceae.